GACGAACGCUGGCGGCGUGCCUAAUACAUGCAAGUCGAACGCUUCUUUCCUCCCGAGUGCUUGCACUCAAUUGGAAAGAGGAGUGGCGGACGGGUGAGUAACACGUGGGUAACCUACCCAUCAGAGGGGGAUAACACUUGGAAACAGGUGCUAAUACCGCAUAACAGUUUAUGCCGCAUGGCAUAAGAGUGAAAGGCGCUUUCGGGUGUCGCUGAUGGAUGGACCCGCGGUGCAUUAGCUAGUUGGUGAGGUAACGGCUCACCAAGGCCACGAUGCAUAGCCGACCUGAGAGGGUGAUCGGCCACACUGGGACUGAGCCACGGCCCAGACUCCUACGGGAGGCAGCAGUAGGGAAUCUUCGGCAAUGGACGAAAGUCUGACCGAGCAACGCCGCGUGAGUGAAGAAGGUUUUCGGAUCGUAAAACUCUGUUGUUAGAGAAGAACAAGGACGUUAGUAACUGAACGUCCCCUGACGGUAUCUAACCAGAAAGCCACGGCUAACUACGUG
This 508-nucleotide ribosomal RNA is filed under the name uncultured bacterium. RNAcentral describes it as "partial 16S ribosomal RNA". It matches the Rfam family "Bacterial small subunit ribosomal RNA", at positions 28 to 507 of the family's 1533-position model. The record is from RNAcentral.